ACUGCUCAGUAACACGUAAGUGACCUACCCCCGAGUGGGGAAUAACUGCUCGAAAGAGUGGCUAAUACCGCAUAUGCUCCCUGCAUCGGAGUGGGGAGUAAAGCAGCGAUGCGCUUGGGGAUGGGCUUGCGGCCGAUUAGCUAGUUGGUGGGGUAAAGGCCUACCAAGGCGAUGAUCGGUAGCUGGUCUGAGAGGAUGAUCAGCCAGACUGGGACUGCGACACGGCCCAGACUCCUACGGGAGGCAGCAGUUAGGAAUUUUGCGCAAUGGACGAAAGUCUGACGCAGCAACGCCGCGUGGGGGAAGAAGGUCUUCGGAUCGUAAACCUCUUUUGCCGGGGAAGAUAGUGACGGUACCCGGCGAAUAAGCCCCGGCUAACUACGUGCCAGCAGCCGCGGUAAUACGUAGGGGGCGAGCGUUGUCCGGAUUUAUUGGGCGUAAAGAGCGCGUAGGCGGCCCGCCAAGUCUUGCGUUAAAUACCUCGGCUCAACCGAGGGGGGUCGUGGGAUACUGGCGAGCUAGAGGCCGGUAGGGGGAAGUGGAAUUCCCGGUGUAGUGGUGGAAUGCGUAGAUAUCGGGAGGAACACCAGUGGCGAAGGCGGCUUCCUGGACCGGUCCUGACGCUGAGGCGCGAAAGCGUGGGGAGCGAACUGAAUUAGAUACUCAGGUAGUCCACGCUGUAAACAAUGGGUGCUAGGUGUCGGGGGUAUCGACCCCUCCGGUGCCGCAGCUAACGCAUUAAGCACCCCGCCUGGGGAGUACGGCCGCAAGGCUAAAACUCAAAGGAAUUGGCGGGGGAGCAC
Molecule: ribosomal RNA, 803 nt
Filed under: uncultured archaeon
Lineage: Archaea
Description: bacterial SSU rRNA
Rfam family: Bacterial small subunit ribosomal RNA
Source: RNAcentral